GGCAGAGACCAGCUCGAUCUCUAGCCUCCUGCGGAGAUGCUGGUCCCCCGAGUCUGGUCCUCUGUGAGGCCGGGGCUGAGCAGGGUCUUGUCCAGGACCCUGGGAGGCUGGCCCUCAGGGGAGGGCAGGAGGAUGGACCUCUCAGGCAUCUACCCGCCUGUGACCACCCCUUUCACUGCCACGGCCGAGGUGGACUAUGGGAAACUGGAGGAGAAUCUGCAUAAACUGGGCACCUUUCCCUUCCGAGGCUUCGUGCUCCAGGGCUCCAAUGGCGAGUUCCCCUUCCUGACCAGCAGUGAGCGCCUGGAGGUGGUGAGCCGCGCACACCAGGCCCUGCCCAAGGACAAGCUCCUGCUGGCCGGCUCCGGCUGCGAGUCUACUCAGGCCACGGUGGAGAUGACCGUGAGCAUGGCCCAGGCUGGGGCUGACGCCGCCAUGGUGGUGACCCCUUGCUACUAUCGUGGCCGCAUGAGCAGCGCCGCCCUCAUUCACCACUACACCAAGGUGGCUGAUCUGUCUCCAAUUCCUGUGGUGCUGUACAGCGUCCCAGCCAACACGGGGCUGGACCUGCCCGUGGACGCAGUGGCCACGCUUUCCCAGCACCCCAAUAUUGUGGGCAUCAAGGACAGCGGGGGUGACGUGACCAGGAUUGGGCUGAUUGUUCACAAGACCAGGAGUCAGGAUUUCCAGGUGUUGGCCGGAUCGGCUGGCUUCCUACUGGCCAGCUAUGCCAUAGGAGCUGUGGGGGGCGUGUGUGCCCUGGCCAAUGUCCUGGGGGCUCAGGUGUGCCAGCUGGAGAGACUCUGCCUCACAGGGCAAUGGGAAGAUGCCCAGAAACUGCAGCACCGCCUCAUUGAGCCAAACACUGCGGUGACCCAGCGCUUCGGGAUCCCAGGGCUGAAGAAAACCAUGGACUGGUUUGGUUACUACGGAGGCCCCUGCCGCUCCCCCUUGCAGGAGCUGAGCCCCGCCCAGGAGGAGGCGCUGCGCCUGGACUUCGCCAGCAACGGGUGGCUCUGAGCGCCGGCCGGGGACUGCCGGACCACGCCCACCUCAGCCUCCUGCCGGGUGGUGGCCGCCUGAAGAAAGCGUGGGGGAGACGAGGGCUCAGGGUUCGAGGCGCCUCGUCUUACUUCAGUCCUCCAGAUCAGAGCUUCCCCUCCCUCGUCUAAGGUUGGGAAAAGAAUGACCAGGUACCCACCUUGAGCCAUCUGAGAAGGUCAGUACCCCGAAGCCAUUAAAGAGCCCAUUCUCAAAAUGGCCCAGGUAGGUGCCACCAUCUGCAAACAUCAGUUGACCAAAACCAUGUCUGCGGCCUGAGCAAAGAGAAGACGGGUGUCAGGUUGGGAUGGGGCAGCUUCAGGGUCCUCUGUCACUGUCUAACAUCCUUUGCCUUGCAUCACCCCACCCACAAAGGAAAGAAGAGAAACAGUGACAUUAGCAGGGCAGAGAACCAUUGCCCAGAGUAAUAACUUGGCUCCAAGGAUCGUUGCAGUGAAAAGGAAAAAAGAGCAGUGAGUUUUUCUUUCCCUUUCCUGAGAUCAAAGAAGAUAAAGAGAACAGUGAACAGGCCUGAACAUUCCCAGUUUUUACUUUAACUUUUCCUAAUCUGUCGUCUGUGACUGAAAAUGCUUUUCUGCCCCUGAACUCUGCAUGAGCUACAUUUUGCACCUAUUAUCAUUUGCAUGCAUGCGGGCUAAGUCACCUCAGUCGCAUCCAACUCUUUGUGACCCUAUGGACCAUAGCCCGCCAGGCUCCUCUGUCCAUGGGAUUCUCCAGGCAAGAAUACUGGAGUGGGUUGCCAUGCCCUCCUCCAGAGGAUUGAACCCACACGUCUCUUAUGUCUCCUGCACUGGCAGGCAGGUUCUUUAUCAUGAGCACCACCUGGGAAGCCCUUGACUCUGUGCUACUUACAUCCUGUAUCUGGUGCUUACCUUAUAGCGCUCUCUCUGCAAACCACCUCUUGUAGUUUUUCUCUUUUUACAUAUCAGAAAGAAGGGGCAGGGCCACAGGACGGCCAGACUCAAUUACUGGGAUACUGAUGCCAGCCUAUGACUGUUUUUGAAACAAUGCAAGAGGAAGAAUACAAGAUUCUUACACCUUCGCUCCUCAUCACAGACCCCUGACUGCAAGCCCUCA
This is an RNA transcript of Budorcas taxicolor (takin), 2139 nucleotides long. It is a transcript of the gene named 4-hydroxy-2-oxoglutarate aldolase 1, with no coding region annotated. NCBI's taxonomy places the organism in Eukaryota, Metazoa, Chordata, Mammalia, Artiodactyla, Bovidae. The record is from RefSeq and is a predicted model, not a curated record. The transcript is spliced from 8 exons.